RNAcentral lists this ribosomal RNA (337 nucleotides) under uncultured soil bacterium. RNAcentral describes it as "bacterial SSU rRNA". It matches the Rfam family "Bacterial small subunit ribosomal RNA", at positions 26 to 363 of the family's 1533-position model. The record is from RNAcentral.
AGAUUGAACGCUGGCGGCAGGCCUAACACAUGCAAGUCGAGCGGUAGAGAGGUGCUUGCACCUCUUGAGAGCGGCGGACGGGUGAGUAAUGCCUAGGAAUCUGCCUAGUGGUGGGGGAUAACGUUCGGAAACGGACGCUAAUACCGCAUACGUCCUACGGGAGAAAGCGGGGGACCUUCGGGCCUCGCGCCAUUAGAUGAGCCUAGGUCGGAUUAGCUAGUUGGUGAGGUAAUGGCUCACCAAGGCGACGAUCCGUAACUGGUCUGAGAGGAUGAUCAGUCACACUGGAACUGAGACACGGUCAGACUCCGUACGGGAGGCAGCAGUAGGGGGAAUA